UGUUAGGUCAAGGUGCAGUAUGUAGCUGUACAAAAUGGGUUACACUAUUUAUUAUGAAUGGAUUGCUUUAGUAAAAAGAAGCAUGAAAUAGGAUUUAUAAGUAAAAAAAUUGUUAAAGAUUUUAUAUGAAUAGAGAUUCUAAAAUAUGUACACAUUGCCCGUCGCUCUUGUUUAAAAUAAGAUAAGUCGUAACAUAGUAGAUGUACUGGAAAGUGCCUCUGGAAUUAGGGGUAAAUAGCUAAUUAAAGUAUAUUAUUUACGUUAAUAGGAUACCGUUAAGGUUUUACUUUUUAUUUAGUUUAAUAGAGGGAAAAGUGAUUAAUAUUAAUUUUUAUGCUGUAGAGGGGAAGCUAUAGUAUAAAAAUUAAUAAAAAAUUCAUUUAUUGUACCUUUUGUAUCAGGGUUUAUUUACAUUUACAUUUAAGAAUUUUUUCUCGACAAAGAAAGAUUUAAAUAGUUAAAAUUCUAAUGUUUCAUUAUUAGGUUGAAUAAUUAUUUAGUUUUGAAAAAAAUCAAGAUUUCUUUUAUCUAGUUGCUUUUUGAUUAAUUUAAUUUGUUUUGUUUUUGUAAUUUAUUGUUAAAAUAAAAAAUAUUCUUAGGGAUAAUCUUGGGAUUAAAAUUUUAGCUUUAAUUAAAUAAUAAUUUUAUAGGUUUAGAAUUAUCAACUUUUUUAAUAUUUAAAAAUUAACUUAAUUUUUAUAAU
This 703-nucleotide ribosomal RNA is filed under the name Neophyllura arbuti. Its description in RNAcentral is "partial small subunit ribosomal RNA". The record is from RNAcentral. Lineage: Eukaryota; Metazoa; Arthropoda; Insecta; Hemiptera; Liviidae.